RNAcentral lists this ribosomal RNA (384 nucleotides) under Enterobacter sp. FER59. Its description in RNAcentral is "bacterial SSU rRNA". It matches the Rfam family "Bacterial small subunit ribosomal RNA", at positions 970 to 1355 of the family's 1533-position model. The record is from RNAcentral. Lineage: Bacteria; Pseudomonadati; Pseudomonadota; Gammaproteobacteria; Enterobacterales; Enterobacteriaceae.
CUUACCUGGUCUUGACAUCCACAGAACUUGGCAGAGAUGCCUUGGUGCCUUCGGGAACUGUGAGACAGGUGCUGCAUGGCUGUCGUCAGCUCGUGUUGUGAAAUGUUGGGUUAAGUCCCGCAACGAGCGCAACCCUUAUCCUUUGUUGCCAGCGGUCCGGCCGGGAACUCAAAGGAGACUGCCAGUGAUAAACUGGAGGAAGGUGGGGAUGACGUCAAGUCAUCAUGGCCCUUACGACCAGGGCUACACACGUGCUACAAUGGCGCAUACAAAGAGAAGCGACCUCGCGAGAGCAAGCGGACCUCAUAAAGUGCGUCGUAGUCCGGAUUGGAGUCUGCAACUCGACUCCAUGAAGUCGGAAUCGCUAGUAAUCGUGAUCAGAAU